This 832-nucleotide ribosomal RNA is filed under the name Mammaliicoccus sciuri. RNAcentral describes it as "bacterial SSU rRNA". It matches the Rfam family "Bacterial small subunit ribosomal RNA", at positions 31 to 843 of the family's 1533-position model. The record is from RNAcentral. Lineage: Bacteria; Bacillati; Bacillota; Bacilli; Caryophanales; Staphylococcaceae.
GAACGCUGGCGGCGUGCCUAAUACAUGCAAGUCGAGCGAACAGAUGAGAAGCUUGCUUCUCUGAUGUUAGCGGCGGACGGGUGAGUAACACGUGGGUAACCUACCUAUAAGACUGGGAUAACUCCGGGAAACCGGGGCUAAUACCGGAUAAUAUUUUGAACCGCAUGGUUCAAUAGUGAAAGACGGUUUCGGCUGUCACUUAUAGAUGGACCCGCGCCGUAUUAGCUAGUUGGUAAGGUAACGGCUUACCAAGGCGACGAUACGUAGCCGACCUGAGAGGGUGAUCGGCCACACUGGAACUGAGACACGGUCCAGACUCCUACGGGAGGCAGCAGUAGGGAAUCUUCCGCAAUGGGCGAAAGCCUGACGGAGCAACGCCGCGUGAGUGAUGAAGGUCUUCGGAUCGUAAAACUCUGUUGUUAGGGAAGAACAAAUUUGUUAGUAACUGAACAAGUCUUGACGGUACCUAACCAGAAAGCCACGGCUAACUACGUGCCAGCAGCCGCGGUAAUACGUAGGUGGCAAGCGUUAUCCGGAAUUAUUGGGCGUAAAGCGCGCGUAGGCGGUUUCUUAAGUCUGAUGUGAAAGCCCACGGCUCAACCGUGGAGGGUCAUUGGAAACUGGGAAACUUGAGUGCAGAAGAGGAGAGUGGAAUUCCAUGUGUAGCGGUGAAAUGCGCAGAGAUAUGGAGGAACACCAGUGGCGAAGGCGGCUCUCUGGUCUGUAACUGACGCUGAUGUGCGAAAGCGUGGGGAUCAAACAGGAUUAGAUACCCUGGUAGUCCACGCCGUAAACGAUGAGUGCUAAGUGUUAGGGGGUUUCCGCCCCUUUG